UACGUAGGGGGCAAGCGUUGUCCGGAAUCAUUGGGCGUAAAGCGCGUGUAGGCGGCCCGAUAAGUCCGCUGUGAAAGUCCAGGGCUCAACCCUGGAAUGCCGGUGGAUACUGUCGGGCUCGAGUCCGGAAGAGGCGAGUGGAAUUCCUGGUGUAGACGGUGAAUGCGCAGAUAUCAGGAGGAACACCGGUGGCGAAGGCGGGUCUCUGGGCCGUAACUGACGCUGAGGAGCGAAAGCCAGGGGAGCAAACGGG
This 253-nucleotide ribosomal RNA is filed under the name uncultured bacterium. RNAcentral describes it as "partial 16S ribosomal RNA". It matches the Rfam family "Bacterial small subunit ribosomal RNA", at positions 524 to 776 of the family's 1533-position model. The record is from RNAcentral.